UGGGGCCAAAGGACCUCAUGACUUAGCUGUGACUUGGGGCAAGGUUUAAUGACCUAACUAAAUAUUAGGGCGUUGGCUUAAUCAGUCACCAUCAAAUUGAGCAUUGUUGCAUGUUGAGGACUUUACUCAGAACCAUACAACAGAAUUUUAGAAGGCAGCUUUUCUCGUUGCAGUGUACAUUUUAAGGCUUGGAGUAUGGAUUGGGAUUGUUUUUAUUUUGUGCAUUUGUAAAAUGUUUUGUUGUCAUUGCUAUUCACAAUAAUCUUAAAAUUUAGCUCCUCCAAAGGAAUUAAUAGGGUCCUGUCACUGAGGAACCUGGACUUGAUCUAAUCUAACCCAAGGCUUUCAUUCAUAAAGGCAAAGCAAACAUCAAGAAAUUUAACCAAGAUUACAAUAAAGUAACUUGUGGUAAACUCUGGAGUGUCUAUCAAUAAGUAAAUUCUCCUACUCCUCUCUCUUUCUCCCUGUGUCUCUCUGGACAGCUGAUCACAGAUGCCUUAUAUUACAGUUAUUUCUAGAUGUCUUGACCCUCUCCACUGGAAAUUCUCAAGGGCGCGAUCUGUCUCAUAUUCCUUUUUCCAUUUCCAUGCUGCCAGGUGCCACUAACCGUUCACUGAGAUAAUCAUGGUGCUGAACUUGAUUUCAAUUGUCUAACAGGCUGCCUGCGCAUUUAUUUACAAAGACAGAGGCCACACACUUAAAAUAAAAUUGUGCCAUAGUUUUCACUUGACUGGGAAAGGACAGACCAGAGCCAAGCUUUGGUUUGACCUCCAACUAACUUACUUUCUUUUUUUUCUUUCUUUUAAGAUUUUUAGUUAUUUAUUUGACAGAGAGAGAGGGAGAGAGCACGAGCAGGGGAAGCAGCAGAGGGAGAAGGAGAAGCAGACUCCCCACUGAACUGGGAACCUGAUGCAGGACUCAAUCCCAGGACCCCAGGAUCAUGACCUGAGCUGAAGGCAGACACUUACCUGACUGAGCCACCCAGGUGCCUCUGACCUCCAGCUUUCACUUUGAAAUGCCCAAAGGCAAAUCUUUUGAAGACUCUAAAUAAGACCUAUUCACAACUUUCCUGCAGAGGACCAAGAUAAAGAUACUUCUCCAAAACUCCCAAUGUGCACAGUUCCCUUCACCCAGCCCAAGCUUCUGGACUGCCCUCAGGAGCCCUGCCUUGGAGACAUACUCCCCAUGCUCCAGAACCAAUGUGGCCCUUCCUAGGGUCCAGGAACAUUCCACCACUGUGCCCAGGAGUAUUCCUAAAAGACUUGUCAACUGAGCAGUUUCUGUAUCUGGCAAACCCAAUGUUAUUCACUCAGCUAACACAGCUGAUUCAGAAGGAAAAUACAACCUUCUCCUGUUUCAGUUCAUUUUGCGCUAUAAACACAGCUUGAGAAACAAACUACUUACAAUAAUAAGUUUGUGUGUCUUAGAGACUCACGAUUCACUUUGUCACCAUCUAGCCUGUGCAGUGUGGUCUUGCAAGUACUGCAGUUUUGUGUUUUGCAACGCAAUAAGCUUUGGGUAAGUGGAUUAAACGCGUCCUCAUUACAGUCAGGAGCAGGAGAGACACAUUUUUGUAGAAUGAGACUUCCCAUUUUGGAUACACUAGGUACUGGGUCCUCCUAGUUUUUUAGUGUUGGCAGAAUUAAAAAAAGGCAGGAUGGUUUUCUGCCUCCCUCUCCUUCCUUUCCUGGAGCCUGGUAUAUACAAGGUUGGUGUGCAAAGAGAUAAAGAUGCUCUUUUAGCAUAACUGCAUGUGAUUACCGGUCUGCACACUGUGAGGCAGCUCUGCCUACACUGUGGGGCGCUCCCUCCCCGCACCCCACCUGCCUUCAGCCCAAGGAUCCAACACUGCAGAGAAAAGCAGCAGAUGAGAGGCAGAGCUAGGGCACCAUGAGGAAGAGUUAGGAGCUGGCUGUGGACAGCAAAUAGGACACAGAAGCUAAGGAGCCCAGUGGGAUGGGAAGAACAGAGAGGUGGUACAAGAAGGAAAAGGGUUUUUCAAGGAAAGCAAAGAGGCACCUGAGGAAACCUCAAGAACAAAGACAAAGAAGCAUGGCCCCAGGGAAUAGAAUAGCUGGAGGUGGUGGGGAAGAUAGCUAGAGCAGGACCCAGGAGCUUUUUCUCACCAAAUCUCUCCUCAGCGGGCUCUCCUGUGGGCUCUGAAGUGUUUUGAAGCCUAAGACUGGAGGGGUGGUGGGGAUAGACUAUUUCACAAAUCUUCUCCCAGACUUCUGGAUGUGUUUAGCCACCUGAGUGUUUGAUUAUUCAGGUCAUGGAUCUAACUGCAGGGUUUAAUAUAGGAGUUAUAAAAGAACAAAAGAGCCUAGAAUAAAAUUUAUGUAUGCUUAUUCCAUAAACAGAGUGCCUCUCUUAAUCUUAAACAAUUUUUUUGAAAAGCGAUCAUAAAUGGGUGUUGCAUCACACAUAUAAAGAGGUCUGAGGAACAAGCCAAGAGCGAUGGGUCGCGAUUGCCGUCACCAGUUGCUGACUCUGGUCAAAGCACUCAGGAGAUAAAGGAGGUGAGAAUGAUAAGAAUUAAUGAACCAAUAAGAAGCCUCAAGGAGAGAGAGACAGGAAGUUACUAAGUAAGAAAAAAAAAAAGAGGGACCAUGGAAAGGAAGAUACAUUGUGGGAAGAACACCUCAGUUUUCUUUCCCUUUUUCACAUCUGCAGGCUUUGCAGGGCUUAUUCACUCGGGAGGCAAGCACAAUAAGGAUAUAACAGGGCCCUGAAGGAUGUGAGAUGUCUCCUGGCCCCAGACGCCCAAGAAAGUGACAGCCAGGAUCCCACUAGAGAGCACUCAAAAGUCCCUUAGGAUCAUCUACCCUUCCCUUUGGGCCAGUUAUCCUUCUCAUCAUCCUGGGAAGGAAACGGGAGAGCUAUUUAAAUUCAACUCAAUCAGUGGAGAGACCAAAGAUCAGCAAUGGAGAAAAGAUAUGGUUGGGAGAUGAAGAACUGAAGCUCAGAAACCUUUAGGAUUCCCUAUCAGGAUCUCAGAAACAGAAAGAACAGAUUCAAGAGGUCCAUGCAAGCCUUCCUGGCUACGAAGUUUCCAGUGUGCCUCUAAAGAAAAGGCCAAGAGAGCGUUGAGGGGAGUCUGUAUUAUGAACAAAUGCAGACACAAGCCGAUAGACAUCUGAAUUUUUUUGUUUCCACCAACAUGAAUAAUGGCCUGAGUUGUUCAGAUGAGGUGACAAAUGUACUGAACACUAAAAUUUGGAUUGUGAAGAAAGAAAUUUGAUUCACAUUAUAGGUAUCAGGUGUAGGCACCCAUGUUGCAAAGAGUAAGAUGCAUGCCCUUUUGACUUCAUCCUAUAGUAUAUGGGGAAAAGAAACAUUUUUUUUUUUAAAUGUACACACUACCUUUUCCCCAAAGAGUAGCGGAAAUUUAAAAUGAAACACUAAGGAGUGUUUGAUAUAAUCAGCAUCAUCCUUAAAAAUAUGAUGAAGGAGGAUAUUUCUCCAAGAUUGUCUCUUCCCCUUCUGUCUGAAGAAAUGUCUCAGAAGCUUAUUCCAGAUCACAGGCAAUGGAAUAAAGAGCUUAGUUGAGUGUAUGACUACAUUUAUCCUAUUUUUUUUUAAAGAAAGGAUUUUCAACUAAAAAUCCAUCUUGAGAAGAUAACAGGACAAAGAGGAUUUCUCCACCUCCUUUUGAAAAUCCAUACAGUUUGCCAGAGGAUUUAAAAUUCCAUUAGCGCAGCUCCCAUGGCUUACUCCAAAGGUGAAUUAGAUUUAGAUGGCUCUGCUCUUUUCUCACACAAUGCUUUUUUUUUUUUUUUUUUUUGACAAGACAACUGGAGAUGCCUCCCUUUGUAUGGCUACAUCCUUCUAGAAGGUUCCUGAUCUACAAAUGUCUUCAAUGGUGGUGGAGCCAGACAGAAGUUCUCUUUAUGGAAGUGUGGGGCACUUUCUAAUUCUCUCAACAGGGCUACCAUCUAUAUCUUAUAGUAAUGGAGGACAGGAAGAGGAAGCAUAAUCGAACACCAGGGAAGCUCUAACUUUGUAAAGUCCAAAGCACCACCUGCCAGCACUGCCUUCUACUUCUUUUGUGGCUCAAUUCUUUUUCCUUCCCCUAACCAAACUGCUAGGUUGGAGGCCAAGCAGUAGUGAUGUGGCACAAAGGUAACCAUCAGGAAGGAGUGAGAAGAGGCUUCAGUUUCUCCAUCCAUGAAUGGAGGGACCAGGACCAUUGCUAUUCCCUACAGCACGGUGCAUACACGACAACUCAGGAAGUCCAAGACGAUUUUAGAAUACAGAAACAGGGCACUAAAUAACAGUGAGAAACUGAUGACCUUUUCAAAUCCCUUUUGAUCUCUCUGGCUCCAUCAGAGAGAAUACAUCAGUUCGAGGAUAAUAUUUCUUUAACACUUCCUUCAUAUUUGCUAAAUUCCCUUGUUAGUGAAAAUUGGGCAGGCUGAAGGCUCAAACAACUGGACAGAAUUUCAUAACAAUGCGAUUGUCAUUCUGUUUAUUUUUUUGUUAUCUUCUAUUUAUAUCAAAUCAUACUGAUUUUUCAACUUGUGGCUGUGAUAAUACAGUUUUUAAAAUAACGUAGGUUUUAAAAAGAAGCCAAUCUCUCUAAAACCAUUAAAGAGUAGAACGCAUUUUUACAAAACAAUGAAUGGUUUAUGUGACUAACCACUGAAAAAUGCUGGACUAGAUGAUUUCCAAGCCCAUCUAGCCCUGUUAUUUUAUUACUGUGAUGAGGAGCAAAAGACCAGAAUAACUCUCAGACUGGAUCAUCUAUCCCUGGAGCUAACUGUAGGUCACUUGUAGAGGCCUUAUUAUUUCCAUUCCUGGCACAAAAGCAAUCAAAUAAUUAGCUCCCAUUGCAUGACAUGGAGCCCAGCCACCAUGGGGGGAAUGGGGGGCACCAGUGAAAAAAGCAUGUAACUCUUCAGGGCUUCUGGUCUAUUUGCUAUUUGCACACAUGUUCAGCUUUGAGCUAGUUAAAAAGCACUACUGAACUGAAAAUGCCUCAUUUUUUCACCCAGUGAAUUAGAAAGCAGGAUAUCACAAGUCUAGGUAUAUAGUAUGUGAGUUGUGGGUAUGGGUGGGACAUGCAUUAUGGGGGGAAAGUUCAAUUCCCUCUGUUAUCUUGGUUCUGUGGUCUUGCUAUUCUAUACGUGUAGUUUACCUAGAGACAAAAUUGUCAUUUUUUGCUGUUAUUUGAAAGGUUUCAAAAUUCAACCUUGGUAAUUUAUUAUUUGGGACCGGGAAUUAGUAUUAGAAAGAUUCUGUGCAAGUCUUGCUGGGAGAGGAUGUAGCCUGUCGCACAUGUCCUUGAGUUCGUUGCCAUGACACAGUGGGUUGACUGCAUUAAUAGUUUCAAUUUCUCUCCUCCCCCACCCCCCAUCUCCAAGCUCCUUUGCUAUAUGGUUUGACAGUUUCUCUCACUAAACAGGUAGAAACUAUCUCUUUGCUCCUUGAUUCUGAGUUUGGCCACUUGAGUGUCUUUGGUCAAUGAGAUGUUAGCAAAUGUGGUCCAUACAGAACCCAGAAUAAACCCUUGAGUGUUUCUGUUUCCACUUUUCCACCCCAGUCAUAACCAUAAGGAAUACAACAGAGCUAGUCUGCUGGAGGAUGAAACACAUUGGCCUCUGAUUCUACUCACUUCUUUUGUUGCAGCUCAUGCUGCUCUGGAUCAGCUGACAGCCAGCUGAGUCCCUUGGCAUGUGACCGAACCCGGCCAAAACCAGAGAACCAUCCAGCCAACCCACAUCCUCCUGAGCUAAUACGUGCUUACAGCUUUAAGCCACUGCCUUCUGGGAUGAUUUGUCCUAUAGCAUUAUCAAUAGGCAAUGCCAAUAUCCAUGGUCAACAGGUAAUGUCGAUACACACCUGAUACACACACUCAACUUCCUUUGCACUGCUCACAGCCAGGAGAGGCACCCUGCCUUUCAGGUGGAUAAAGCCCUAAGUUCUUCACCACCACCUCCCCCUGUAACCCCAGUUUAGGGCCAUUCCCAUCAUCGCUAAAGGAGGAGCAAAUUCAUCAAAUGACCAAUGACUAAUCAGACUCUGUCUUUAGAACUAAAUUGAGGUGCUGGAACUUUAGGGAGGUGAUGCCAGGAACUUCACUAAAAGAUCACGUGGAGUCAGACCACGUUAGAUUGUGUAAAAGUAAAGCGAGCCAUCUGUAAGAAGGAGUGGAGAGUGAGGGGAGGAAGGAGAGAAGCAGAGAGAUGACGGAUUGAUCGAGGCGGAGGGAAGUGGCGAGAAAAGCAGAUGAGAGUGGUCAUGUCUACAGAUUCUGGCUUCUCCAAACCACUUCCAGUUUCAUUUCCAGUCAGCUCACAUCAUGCUUUGUUUCCUGUCUUUGAAUGUCUCUGAGGUUUCCUCUUACACACUUGUAGCCAGUCUUUCUCUAUUAAAGCUAGUUUGAGUGGGUUUUGUUUCUCUUGCAAUUACCAUUUUUCUCUAGUUGAGGACAGUCAUUAACACCUUAGAGAGAAUCAAUGUCUCAGGCUAGUAGUUUCAUCAGAGGGGUCAAUGAUGCAGAGCACUGGGAAUUCAUGGCAGUUAGGGACGGGGCUCAGGGAAAGGUUGGAAGGACAGAAAUAAAAAGCAUUUAACUUACAAUUUGACUAAGGCCUCACCUCACUCUUUUUGACAUUUGCCUAAACAAACUAGGAUCAGAUGAGCUUGUUUUUCUUCCUCAAACCACAAACAACAAAAGAAGUCUAAGAAAAAGUCAAAGAAAUGAUUCACGCUCCCAGAUCUUUGUGCCCUGUCCAGCUCCACUAUAAUUCUUGACUGUGAGGUUCUUGUCACACCUCCUUUUGUGGCAAAAAUACUCCAUCCCAGAAGCAGGGGGGCAGGAACAGGUGGCCCUUGUAUCACAGGGGCAGGGAGCUUGGAUCCAUUCUCACUGCCUUAACCGUGGAAAGACCCCUUAACUGUGGGUCCACACCACCCUGGCUGUCAUGCCACAUGUUAGGGAAUAUGUUUCUUGCUUUUCUUUAAAAAGGGGUUGGGGGAUUUUUCAGACAUCUAUCCUGUACACCAUACAUCUAUCCUGUAAGGUGUCUGAAGGGGGAUGAGCCAGGCUCUUCUUCAAGAGGGAGUGUCUCGUCACAAGAACCAGCAGCCUCCCAUCAGGGCUUUCUGUGCUGAGAAGGAUCAGUCCAGAGAGCCAGACUGUGCAUCUCUCUGCGUGAAUGUAUAUCAUGGACACUAAGCUGUACUGGCUCCGCAAAAUGAUCCAUGGCUCCUGCCGCUGCCCAUCGGAUUGUGCCCUGGAGUUAUAUGACAUCGAGGGAAACAAUCAAUGUGGCCCCUAAUAUGCAGCAAUGCCCUUAUAAGCAAACACAAGUUCCCACUGACAUUAUUUACGAAUCCCCUGUAAGUGUCAAUGCAAGACAUCCAUUCAGACUCACAGCUCAAGCUCCUGGCUCUGCCUGACGGCACACUCCCUCCCGGUGGCCCUGGGUCCCUAACUGCCAGGCUCUGUUUGCCCCAGCCCCUCUCUUGUUAUUUUAGGGCCAUGUACUGUUGAAAUGUGAGCUUUUCACACUUUGAGUGAUGCUCCUCAAACAGUAAAGAAUCCAGAUCAUAGUGGGCCACGUUCUGCUUAGACCUAAGCUCCCAUGAGUGGGCUCACCAGUUCCCAUCACUUGCUACUACGCCAUGAAUCCGAGUCCAACUGUACACUGAAUAUAAGCAUCACGACGAUUCUAACACCCGGCUGGGUGGCAGUACACCUGCAUAUGGUGGAUUAACAACUUUUUUCUCUCUCCCCAGGGCAACACUACACACACCAGGUAAGAUAAACACCUUCACCUUAUAAGAAUUAACCUGUUGAAAAUAAGAAACUCAGAUGGAGAGGUAAGGUGGGCGGUGCAGGGAGGGCCAGGAUGGGAGAAGCAUUUUGCUGUUUGUCUGGGUCUGGAUGUUUUAAAUAAUCACAUUACUGUCCAUUUCCUAUUCAGGAAUCUACCUAUAAUGGAUCCGUCUUAUUAAGUCAUUUUUAGAAACCACUGUACGCAAGGCACUAAACAUGGGUGGGUUCAGUUUGAGUUCUAGAGCCGAUAUUUUGCCAUCUGUGUACUACUGAGUAGAUCAAUUGCUGUAUCUAAGCCUCAACAUCCUCACAUCUGACAUCAUAAUAAUAGAGAUAAUAUUACCACUGAUGAGGAUACGUGUCUAGCUUCCCUCAUUCAAGCGGUUAUCGAGUCCCUUCCCUGUUCUAAGUGCUUGGGAUAUGCCAGUGCCAGCACACCAGACACACCUGCCCUUGCACGGGGCUUUCUAAUACUGGGAAAGGGGGGAG
Long non-coding RNA from Canis lupus familiaris (dog), 8272 nucleotides. RefSeq lists it as uncharacterized. Lineage: Eukaryota; Metazoa; Chordata; Mammalia; Carnivora; Canidae. The transcript is spliced from 4 exons. The record is from RefSeq and is a predicted model, not a curated record.